Molecule: ribosomal RNA, 342 nt
Filed under: Limosilactobacillus reuteri
Lineage: Bacteria; Bacillati; Bacillota; Bacilli; Lactobacillales; Lactobacillaceae
Description: bacterial SSU rRNA
Rfam family: Bacterial small subunit ribosomal RNA
Source: RNAcentral
ACUGAUUGAUGGUGCUUGCACCUGAUUGACGAUGGAUCACCAGUGAGUGGCGGACGGGUGAGUAACACGUAGGUAACCUGCCCCGGAGCGGGGGAUAACAUUUGGAAACAGAUGCUAAUACCGCAUAACAACAAAAGCCACAUGGCUUUUGUUUGAAAGAUGGCUUUGGCUAUCACUCUGGGAUGGACCUGCGGUGCAUUAGCUAGUUGGUAAGGUAACGGCUUACCAAGGCGAUGAUGCAUAGCCGAGUUGAGAGACUGAUCGGCCACAAUGGAACUGAGACACGGUCCAUACUCCUACGGGAGGCAGCAGUAGGGAAUCUUCCACAAUGGGCGCAAGCCU